RNAcentral lists this small nuclear RNA (297 nucleotides) under Rattus norvegicus (Norway rat). RNAcentral's name for it is "7SK RNA". It matches the Rfam family "7SK RNA". From Rfam's summary of the family: 7SK was discovered as an abundant small nuclear RNA in the mid-70s but a possible function has only recently been suggested. Two independent studies have found that 7SK RNA binds the CDK9/cyclin T complex (known as elongation factor P-TEFb). Lineage: Eukaryota; Metazoa; Chordata; Mammalia; Rodentia; Muridae. The record is from Rfam by way of RNAcentral.
GGAUAUGAGGGAGGCCUGGCUGUGGUAUCCGUUACCUCACUAACUGUCAGGACUGAUUUGGCGGGCGAGGCAAGUAUCCCUUUCCUCCCUCACUGCUCCAUGUUUGCCCCUCUUGAAGCUGAGCACUCAGUCCGUCAAAAAUGACAAAAUCCCCCCAAAAGAAAAGUCAAAGGGACAAAGGCAUAUGAGAAGCUGUGCUCCCUGAUAGAACAUCCAAAGUUUGCACUUUAAAAACCUGAACUCCCGUCAAGCCUAUUCCUCUAUGAAAUACAGUGGAUUUGUUCCUUAUCUUUAAUU